Molecule: ribosomal RNA, 305 nt
Filed under: uncultured bacterium
Lineage: Bacteria
Description: bacterial SSU rRNA
Rfam family: Bacterial small subunit ribosomal RNA
Source: RNAcentral
GUCCUACGGGACGCAGCAGUGAGGAAUAUUGGUCAAUGGUCGGGAGACUGAACCAGCCAAGCCGCGUGAGGGAUGAAGGUACAGAGUAUCGUAAACCUCUUUUGUCAGGGAACAAAGGCGGGGACGUGUCCCCGGAUGAGUGUACCUGAAGAAAAAGCAUCGGCUAACUCCGUGCCAGCAGCCGCGGUAAUACGGAGGAUGCGAGCGUUAUCCGGAUUUAUUGGGUUUAAAGGGUGCGCAGGCGGUCUGUUAAGUUAGCGGUCAAAGCCCGGGGCUCAACCCCGGGCCGGCGUUGAAACUGGCAG